Phyllostomus discolor (pale spear-nosed bat) is the source of this 2239-nucleotide long non-coding RNA. RefSeq lists it as uncharacterized. The record is from RefSeq and is a predicted model, not a curated record. NCBI's taxonomy places the organism in Eukaryota, Metazoa, Chordata, Mammalia, Chiroptera, Phyllostomidae. The transcript has 2 exons.
UGCAUGCAUAUAAUUUUUCAUAAACAUGCCAACGGUCACAAGUCUGUGUAUGUGAAAAAACAUAAAGUUACUAAAUGCAUUGGGAAUAAAAUUCACAAUAUUUCUGCCAAAUAUCAAACUACAUGUUUGUGCAUAUUAUUGUAAAGGUCAUUUCUUUACAAAUAGGGUCCUGGGGGAUUAUUAACUAAAGAUGAAGCUUCCUGUUUAUUCACCAGCUCUGGGAUUUCCCAUUUGCCAACACUACAAAUGCAUUGUAUUAUAAAUGAGAACAGCUUGUUGAGGGUAGUAGUUUAAUGUUUUCUGGAAAUAGAUGAAGACAGCAUGUUCUGAUAUAUUUGUAGCAUAAAUUCAGUUAGAAGCUUAGUAAGUAUAGGGAUGCUUUAUUUUUUUUGAACAAGCAUAGAAAUUAUGUUCUUGUGGUGGUAUUAUUGAUAAUUACAAAAUCUUCCUAAAGAAAGUAAUUAUCCAUGCUUUAUAGGAAACUUCCUUUUUGGCAAGCAAUUAGCAUUCAGUUUAGUAUUGAGAUAAACAAUAUUUACAUCAAAUACUAGAAAGUUAUUUGAAUAUGUACCUUAUAAAUUCUGUGCAUUGCCCCACAAAAAGAAAAUAAAAUACUAAUAAUCUUUUAAUAAUCACAAAUCAAUUGGUAAACUCUUCUUAUUACUAUUUAGCUAUCUUAGUAAAUGUCUAGGUAAUAAUCACUUAUCUGAAAAAGGGGGGAGGAUAUAUGUCAACUAUCAUUGAAAAAUAAAUUAGAAAGGGGGAAGGAUAAAAUAAAGUCCACCCAAAUUGCCUGCCAACAUAUUUUGCUUUCACUUAUUUUACAAUCCAGACCUAUACUUUCACUGCUUAAUAGAUAUUUACUAACAUAUUUAAGGAAAACUUGAAUUAUGCUUUAUUCUCUAUUUUCUCAUAGGUAGAUAAUGAUAAUCUAGGUGCUUAGAUGUGAUAUUUAUUAUAGCUUUAGUACAUAUCUUAAAUAAAGCAUGAAUAUGCUAUGGAAUACUUUUAGUAUUUUCUUAAAAAAUUUGGGCUCAGUUUUUUAUGCAAUUAUUGUUUUUUUAUUUUUAUCAAUUUAAAAAAUAGCACAUAAGUUUUCAUACUUGAUAUUUUAUAAAACUGACCUUCGCUUUAUGGUGUGUGGAAGUGCAGGUGUGAAAGGGAUGUGGAUAGGUGUGUAUGCCUGUGUGUGCACGUGUGCAGUUGCAAAUGUCAAUGUAAGAAAUGUAUUGCAACAAAAUAAUGAAAUUUUGGUUAUGUCACCAUAAACCUGAACUUAGUUUUAAAUGGGACAAAGAUUUGAUUUAUCAUAAAUAAUAGCAACAUGUAAUGAAAGUUGUUCAUAUAUAAAGUAUAUAAAGAAAUGUUUGAAAAUAACUGUCAGAAAAAUUACUUCCUUGAACACCCCCAAAUGUUCAGUUUAGAAAGGGUGCAAGAGAGAGAGGGAUUCUAUCUGCACCCAAGUUGGGUGGAGGAGACUGGGUGCAGCCAGCCAAGAUGGUGAGAGGCUCUUGUCUUUUGGGAGAAGUGGUGUGUGCGGAAAGCUGGACAGGGAAAAGACUGAGGGCGUGGUUUGCUUCCACUGACUGCAGCUGGGCAGAAAGAUCGGAAAGGUACACAGCAAGGGCAUUUCUUGGCCCCAGCCCAGCAUAGCUGACAAGCAGAGGCUGCACAGAGUGAAGAAGAGCUCUGAAUUCUCUUUGAUGCUAGGACGGUGGGCUGGGAAUUGGAAAAGUGGGAGAUGAGCACCUGAGAUUAUUCACAGCCAGACAGAUCUUCCCUGGUGGAAGUUGAACCUUCCAGAAGGGAAGGUUGCACCCGGCCCUUACAUCCGGCAGAACGAAAGCACCACCAUCAGGGAAGAUCUACAAAACAGGCAGAUCAGGCUCAAGAAUCCUCUGCGGAGUGCAUUUCCACAAGACAAAGACAGAAAGAGGGACCCCUAAAGGGCCCAUUUUGAACUUUUCUCAGGGAGACAAAGUACGCUGGUCCUUAGGGCCCUAUUUCACUGAGGCCAGCAAAGCAACGAGAUAAGAGAUCAGUUCAUAAAGCAGGAAUCAGGGCUCUCCCAGCCUGGGCUUACACACAAAGCUGCCAUCAACACCAAACAGGAAAGAGCUCAGCCUCUUACACAGAUUGGUCUGUCCCUUGAAAUGAACAGCUAAUAAAGUUGUCUUUGAUUUGUAUGAGUUGUUAAUGUAUUCUGAGUAUAAACCUUGAUAGACAGAUGAUAGAUAAG